CCUAAUUUCAACAUGUAUUGAUUGAACAUGUAUUUAUAUUAAUUUCUUACAAGGUAAAUCUUACAAACUCUUCCUUAAAUACACUACUUUGAAAAAAAUAUAUAAUCAUUGGCACUUGACACUAAUCAAUGACUUUUGAAUAUAGAUACAGUCCAACCAAGCCACCAGCUAUUGCAUGAUAUGGGAAUAUCUAAAGUCGUGGAGCUGCUUUCCAAAGUGCUGGAAGAAAAUAAAUUGAUGAAAGCGGAAAUUACCAACCUGGGGAGUGAAGUGAGGGCGCUUAGGAGAGAGAUGGUGAGGCCGGUAGCACCAGAAGCUGCCGCUUCGUCCAUCAAGCUGCCUCUGGGGACAAUGGAGGAGUUUCAAUUAGCAGAGGCUGUUAUGAGAGAAACCCCCUGCGAAAAACAAAAGAUGAUCUUAACAUUCAGUCUAAUUGGAGGGCACACUGCAGAAGAGGCCGUAAGAAGGAUGUUGCAGAGUGGCCUAACCAAUAACCUGGCGUGUCGCUUCAACUGGGCAGGGAAAGGCUUCAAGGAAGCCUUUAAAAGCACUGUCCUUAGUGAUGUAC
Long non-coding RNA from Gadus chalcogrammus (walleye pollock), 568 nucleotides. RefSeq lists it as uncharacterized. The record is from RefSeq and is a predicted model, not a curated record. Lineage: Eukaryota; Metazoa; Chordata; Actinopteri; Gadiformes; Gadidae. The transcript is spliced from 3 exons.